UACGUAGGGGGCAAGCGUUGUCCGGAUUUAUUGGGCGUAAAGAGCGUGUAGGCGGCUUUACAGGUCCGUUGUGAAAACUCGAGGCUCAACCUCGAGACGCCGGUGGAAACCGUAAAGCUAGAGUCCGGAAGAGGAGAGUGGAAUUCCUGGUGUAGCGGUGAAAUGCGCAGAUAUCAGGAGGAACACCGAUGGCGAAGGCAGUUCUCUGGGCCGUAACUGACGCUGAGGAGCGAAAGCGUGGGGAGCGAACAGG
This 253-nucleotide ribosomal RNA is filed under the name uncultured bacterium. Its description in RNAcentral is "partial 16S ribosomal RNA". It matches the Rfam family "Bacterial small subunit ribosomal RNA", at positions 524 to 776 of the family's 1533-position model. The record is from RNAcentral.